Molecule: unclassified non-coding RNA, 1723 nt
Filed under: Homarus americanus (American lobster)
Lineage: Eukaryota; Metazoa; Arthropoda; Malacostraca; Decapoda; Nephropidae
Description: uncharacterized LOC121865072, transcript variant X1
Source: RNAcentral
CGGUGCUGAGUGAAGACUAUUUAUACAAAUUCCAGAGAAUAAUGAUAAAAGCUAAACCCCAGGGACUAUCUCUCUGUCUCUACACACUGCUGAGUCUCUUGGUACAUAGUGUUGAAACUGAUGAUGGACUCCUGAAUGACCUAACCUGGGCCCAACAAAUGGACCUCCACAACAACCAGUUAGACAGUGGAAGCAGCGAGUAUAAAGACAACGAAGAUUUUAAGAAGUGGGUGUUGGAAGAAGAGCAUAUAUUAACAUCACACAGCAAGGUUCCACAUCGCACAGCACAACACAACACACAAAGUGAAAUGUGGUGGAAGGUGACAAGUCAAGAUGAUCCAGCAAUGGAUGCCGAACCAGUGUCCUGGGACGGCAAAGGCUUAGUCAACAGUGUGUCACCUAAUCUCUUUCAAGACUAUGAACUAAUUCAACACACAUGGAAAGAGGAUGCUGUUACGUAAAUGUUAUUCCCCAAAAAAUCUUUCUGUAUACUGUACUGUGUGUAAUGAUAUACUGUAGUGUAGUGUACUGUAUUGUAGUGUAGUGAAGUGUAGUGUACUGUAUUGUAUUGUACUGAACUGGUCAUUACAGGAACAUAAGGACAGAAAGAUAUAAGAAUACAGAGACAGACAUGGUUACCCAAAGUCAGGACCCACUGACAUUUCGCAUUUAUUCUCUUUGACAUAAGUGUACUGUAUCUCUCCUCAACAUUGUGACAAUCAUCUGGGCAGAUUCAAAUCUUGUUGGGUUUUAAAGUCCUCUGUGUUUCUAGGAGAUUAAGUACACAAACCCAAUUUAAGAUGUCUUCCUCGUUCAACAACAUUUUUGUCUACGAAUGAUCUAUUUAGAAAUAAAGUAAAACUCACUACAAUAAAACUGUGAAGUCCUACUUGUUCUGGCUUUGAUAUAUGUAAGAUAAAAAAUGAGAUUAAAGUUGUAAAAAAGGCACCAUGUUAUUUAGAGAGGGUUGUGAAUCCAUACAUGUAAUUCUGUAGAUAAAAAACUUAUAAUGCCACAUGGGGGUUGGUCAGUCCCAGGAUAUUGUGAACUUUAAAGCAAGUGAGGUAGGUGGGACAAGUUAUCCAGGGAGCAAGAUGGUUCACUUUACUGACCGUCAACGCCUGGGUCAUUAGGGCCGGGAGUGAGAAAAAGGAGGAGGAAAGAAUAAACUGUUGGGGAAGACCUGAAUAACAAUAUUAAAAACUUUAACUGGUGGUAGAGUAAUAAUGGUGAGGGACUUAACUGUGAGAGGGAGUGAUGGGGAAGGAAGUGAGACUGUGGGGGGGAAACAUCAAGUACUAGGAAUGAGUUAACAUGAAGAAAGAGAGAGGUGUGUGUGUGUGUGUUGGUUCUAAAUCUGGUCAUCAUAGUGGGGUAGAGACUUGCCCGAGUGAAAAAAUGACAUAUUGCCGAGUGUAUUUCUGCAAUGGUAAAGUACUGUAUGUAUUGUACUUAUGCCAGAAAUUUGAUGAUGCCUUAGAUAUAUGGCAAGCAGGUACAGUGUACUAACUAAAUAUUAUCAUAGCAGGACUAAAACGUCUGCUAUUGGUGGUGCAGAAUAUAUUAUUACAUAUAGUUUUCAUAAAGCAUUUCAACCUUUUAACAUUAACCCAAAGAGGAGCAUUUAUAUCAAGACAAUAUUUAAGUCUUAGCUACUGGUAGUGAUCAUUGUUAACUGUUCUGUAACUGUGCAAUAUUUGUAUAAAGAUAUUUUAUUACUUGU